This 783-nucleotide ribosomal RNA is filed under the name Triticum aestivum (bread wheat). Its description in RNAcentral is "partial small subunit ribosomal RNA". Lineage: Eukaryota; Viridiplantae; Streptophyta; Magnoliopsida; Poales; Poaceae. The record is from RNAcentral.
AUGCAUCCUCCCCCCGCCGCCGCUGCCGCCUCCGCCGGAGCGGACUACGUCCCGGCGCCCGCUCCCUCGGAGCAGGCGACGUACCCGAGGCUCUCGCCGGAGGACCUGGCCCCGCCGCCCCCUCCCCCGUACCACGCCGCCGCGUCCUACUCCGCGCCGCCCGCCUCCGGCAACCCCUACGUCUCCGGCCCCGCCGCCGGCUCCGUGCCGCCUCCCAAGAACACCAUGGACUCGGUGAAGGACGUGCUGGGGAAGAUGGGCAAGAGGUUCGGCGAGGCCGCCCGCAAGACGGAGAACACCGCCGGCAACUUCUGGCAGCACCUGAAAACUGGACCAAGUAUUGCUGAUGCAGCAAUGGGCAGGGUCUCCCAGAUCACCAAAGUCAUAGCAGAAGGUGGAUAUGAGAAAAUCUUCCAUCAAACGUUUGAUGUCCUCCCUGAAGAAAAACUCAAGAAGCCAUUCGCAUGUUAUCUGUCAACCUCUGCUGGUCCUGUUAUGGGUGUGCUCUACCUGUCCAAUGUAAAGUUGGCCUUCUGUAGUGAUAACCCACUUGCCUACAAGGUUGGGGACAAAAAUGAGUGGAGCUAUUACAAGGUUGCCAUCCCGCUAGCCCAGCUGAGGUCCGUUAAUCCUUCAACGAGCAGAACAAACGCAGCUGAGAAAUACAUCCAGGUGGUCUCGAUUGAUAAUCACGAGUUUUGGUUCAUGGGCUUUGUGUACUAUGACAGUGCUGUAAAGCACCUGCAGGAAGCACUCCAGGAGGCCCGUAUUUUGCAAGCUUAG